GACGAACGCUGGCGGCGUGCUUAACACAUGCAAGUCGAACGGAAAGGCCCUGCUUUUGUGGGGUGCUCGAGUGGCGAACGGGUGAGUAACACGUGAGUAACCUGCCCUUGACUUUGGGAUAACUUCAGGAAACUGGGGCUAAUACCGGAUAGGAGCUCCUGCUGCAUGGUGGGGGUUGGAAAGUUUCGGCGGUUGGGGAUGGACUCGCGGCUUAUCAGCUUUUUGGUGGGGUAGUGGCUUACCAAGGCUUUGACGGGUAGCCGGCCUGAGAGGGUGACCGGCCACAUUGGGACUGAGAUACGGCCCAGACUCCUACGGGAGGCAGCAGUGGGGAAUAUUGCACAAUGGGCGGAAGCCUGAUGCAGCAAUGCCGCGUGCGGGAUGACGGCCUUCGGGUUGUAAACCGCUUUCGCCUGUGACGAAGCGUGAGUGACGGUAAUGGGUAAAGAAGCACCGGCUAACUACGUG
This 468-nucleotide ribosomal RNA is filed under the name uncultured bacterium. Its description in RNAcentral is "partial 16S ribosomal RNA". It matches the Rfam family "Bacterial small subunit ribosomal RNA", at positions 28 to 507 of the family's 1533-position model. The record is from RNAcentral.